UCCAGGGUAGCCUAGUGGACAUGGCAUCUGCCAUGUAAGCAAAACACUGUGAGUUCGAUUUACAUCCCUGGAC
This is a non-coding RNA of Cordylochernes scorpioides, 73 nucleotides long. The record is from the annotation of a GenBank genome assembly. Lineage: Eukaryota; Metazoa; Arthropoda; Arachnida; Pseudoscorpiones; Chernetidae.